UACGGGGGGAGCAAGCGUUGUUCGGAUUUACUGGGCGUAAAGGGCGCGUAGGCGGCCAGCGCAAGUCAGUUGUGAAAUCUCCGGGCUUAACUCGGAACGGUCAACUGAUACUGCGCGGCUAGAGUGCAGAAGGCGCAACUGGAAUUCUCGGUGUAGCGGUGAAAUGCGUAGAUAUCGAGAGGAACACCUGCGGCGAAGGCGGGUUGCUGGGCUGACACUGACGCUGAUGCGCGAAAGCCAGGGGAGCGAACGGG
This 254-nucleotide ribosomal RNA is filed under the name uncultured bacterium. RNAcentral's name for it is "partial 16S ribosomal RNA". It matches the Rfam family "Bacterial small subunit ribosomal RNA", at positions 524 to 776 of the family's 1533-position model. The record is from RNAcentral.